Long non-coding RNA from Lates calcarifer (barramundi perch), 956 nucleotides. RefSeq lists it as uncharacterized. The record is from RefSeq and is a predicted model, not a curated record. The transcript is spliced from 3 exons. Lineage: Eukaryota; Metazoa; Chordata; Actinopteri; Centropomidae.
AACCACAGGUCAUAAGUAUUUUUCAUAAGGCUCACACAAGGGACAUAUAAAUGACUGAAUAUUAAGUAAUUAAAUUUGGGGAGUCAUGAUCUGAAGACAUGGAUCGUCAGCCACUGUUUCUUCAGUGGAGUGGAGGCUUCAGUGACAUGCUUCAUGGAAAUCACAGGUGGAACAAAUUUAACAAUGGAUCAGUUCCUUCAAGUGUCCCAGCAAGCCGUGUCAGCGAGCCAGCACGCACAACACCAGAACCCUGGAGCUAGCUCAACUAAACAGAACACAGUUGUUUUUUGAAGUUAUCAGUUACACCUGUGUUUAUACCGUUAUCAUGCCAAAAUAUCUGCUGUGAAAAAAGGUUUAUAGCAAGACCUGAAACAUCAAAGUGGAAUUCAGUUAUCAUUGAUUUUAUUAUCUAUACCUGUACUUUUCCAAAUGUGACAUGCCAAUAAGUUUUCCUUGAGGUAUGCCUAUCAAGCUCAGUCUGUACAUGGCCACACAGCCCUGAGAGGAGGCCUCAUCAGCCAAAAUAAGCAAAAACACUUAUGUGGGCGUACCGUGGGUGUGUGGACCAACAGUUCAAAGUCAAACACAAUUACAAAAACAGACAUGUAUAUUUACUUUGAGCUCACCAGUUGUUACUAGUUUUACAUGUUGUGAACUGUACUAUCUGCCUAACAAUCUCUCAGUGGGAGCUUUGAGAUAUUUAUAAAUUAGAAUUAGCUUUCAUAUAACAUUUAUUCAAUUAUUGGUUAAUUUGUUUAACCUGAUAAACCCAACAAAAAAAAAUGUUGCUUGAGGCAACAGCAUUUGUCUUUGACUGUUGCACCACUACCAUUUUGUGAGGAAAAAUAGACUGGGAAAAAAAGUGUAGACACAACAUCCUUCUGUACAAAACAGACCCAGAGGAGUCAUCAUCCCAUCAAAUCAACUCUCCACACAGUCUAUUUCGGAGCUGAGAA